Molecule: ribosomal RNA, 484 nt
Filed under: uncultured bacterium
Lineage: Bacteria
Description: partial 16S ribosomal RNA
Rfam family: Bacterial small subunit ribosomal RNA
Source: RNAcentral
AUUGAACGCUGGCGGCAUGCCUAACACAUGCAAGUCGAGCGGAUGAAGGGAGCUUGCUCCUGGAUUCAGCGGCGGACGGGUGAGUAAUGCCUAGGAAUCUGCCUGGUAGUGGGGGAUAACGUCCGGAAACGGGCGCUAAUACCGCAUACGUCCUGAGGGAGAAAGUGGGGGAUCUUCGGACCUCACGCUAUCAGAUGAGCCUAGGUCGGAUUAGCUAGUUGGUGGGGUAAAGGCCUACCAAGGCGACGAUCCGUAACUGGUCUGAGAGGAUGAUCAGUCACACUGGAACUAAGACACGGUCCAGACUCCUACGGGAGGCAGCAGUGGGGAAUAUUGGACAAUGGGCGAAAGCCUGAUCCAGCCAUGCCGCGUGUGUGAAGAAGGUCUUCGGAUUGUAAAGCACUUUAAGUUGGGAGGAAGGGCAGUAAGUUAAUACCUUGCUGUUUUGACGUUACCAACAGAAUAAGCACCGGCUAACUUCGUG